This 1483-nucleotide long non-coding RNA is filed under the name Homo sapiens (human). RNAcentral's name for it is "MIAT neighbor". The record is from RNAcentral. Lineage: Eukaryota; Metazoa; Chordata; Mammalia; Primates; Hominidae.
GGGGGCGACGUGGUGGGGUCCAUUUGUAGGUUGUGGAGGAUUUGAUCUUUUGCUCUUGGAAAUAAAUCUUGCUGCUGCGCGCGCUCUCUCUCUGGGUGCAUGCUGCUUUUAAGAGCUGUGAUACUCACCAGGAAGGUCCGUGGUUUCAUUCUGGAAGUCAGCGAGACCAAGAACCCACCAGAAGGAACCAACUACAGACACACUGCUAUAUGGUCCAGCUAUGUACAAACUGAAUCAAGAUUCUAUGUACAUCAGAAUCAAGAGAGAGUGAGUUCUUGACAUCACGGAGCGGUCUACAUUCUAGUUCAUGCGGUGGACCUGCUGGGUGGCCUCAGAGUCUCCCUAUGUCUCCCAAGCUGGAGUGCAGUGGCGUGAUCUUGGCUCAUUGCAGCCUCCACCUCCCAGGUUCAAGUGAUUCUUCUCUCCCAGCCUCCCAAGUAGCUGGGAUUACAGGCUGGAGUGCAAUGGCGUGAUCUCAGCUCACUGCAACCUCCACCUCCUGGGUUCAAGAGAUUCUCCUGCGUCAGCCUCCCGAGUAGCUGGGAUUACAGGCAUGCACCACCACGCCUGGUUAAUUUUGUGUUUUUAGUAGAGAGAGGUUUCUCCUUGUUGGUCAGGCUGGUCUCGAACUCCCAACCUUAGGUGAUCUGCCCGCCUCGGCCUCCCAGAGUGCUGGGAUUACAGGUGUGAGGCACCGCGCCGGCCUAUUGCUUUUAUGUUCUCUACAGUCUCUGCAUGCCUCUGUUGGCUGCCAUCGGGGGCAGACCACUCCCACUGCCCAUCCUUGGACUCCACUGUUUUGGUUUCCCUGGGCAGUUACCCUCUGUCUGGGCAAGUGAAGAUUCUCAGCCUGAGCCCAAUAUCAACAAUGUUCCAGGCUGAAACAGCAGUAGCCAAUUGUCUGCCCAUUUCUGAACGGUUCUUACUAUUCUGGAACUGUAGUCCUUAUACUUUUUUUCUUUGCUUUCACAGUUCUGGAUUCCCUUAAAAAUACUAUUUCUGUGUUAAGUGUUUUCUAGCUGUCAGCACACAUGCUGUCUUACCGUGACCUAUUAUAUCUUUCUUGGAAACAGAAGGCACUACUGGUUUUUGAAUGCUGAUCUUAUAUUUUGGAAUCUCACUGAGUGUUCUUAUUAGUCGUAAAGCCUUAUCUAUAAAUUCUCCUGGAAAGUUCCCUUCAAUCCUUCUUUUAAUGACAAUUUGAAUUAUAAAUGAGGAUUGAAUUUUUUCAAAAUUUUUUCAGAAUGGAUUUAGCGAAUUAUGCGAAUUUCUCAUUUAAUGUGAUGUAUUAUACAAUAAGUUUUUCUGAUAUGGAACCAUCCUUGCAUUUCUUAGAUUCACCCUAUCCUUUCAUAAUGUAUUUUCUAAAAUAUUACUGAACCUGACUUCCUAGUUUUCCAUUUUACACUUUCAUGUCUAUUUUUCUAUAGAUUUCUUUACUUUUGUAUUAUUCUUAGUGGAUUUUGGUAUAAAGGUCUUAUUA